Molecule: long non-coding RNA, 855 nt
Filed under: Gossypium barbadense (sea-island cotton)
Lineage: Eukaryota; Viridiplantae; Streptophyta; Magnoliopsida; Malvales; Malvaceae
Description: long non-coding RNA (GBAR_LNC016644)
Source: RNAcentral
CUUCUAGAUUAUUAAAUCCCAAAUAUAAUUCUCUGAGUUGUGUCAGAUUUCCAAUACUUCUUGGAAUGAUCCCCGUCAAUUGAUUCAAGGACAAGGACAAAUUUUUAAGGUUGCUGCACUUGCCCAUACUUGACGGAAUGUUACCAGAUAACUCAUUGCUAUGCAAGUAAAGCACUUCAAGCUUGGGAAGAUGUUGACACAUAUCAUUAGGCAAACUACCUAAUAGGCUAUUGUUGGAGAGAACAAUGGUCUUCAGAGAAGAAAUGUUGAAGAUCGAAUUUGGAAUCUGACCUGUAACGCCUUUAAUUGCUUGAAUAUUAAGCAAUUCCAAACCAUGAAGAUUACCGAUUUCCUCAGGAAUUUGACCUGCACACAUAGUCGAAAAAUCAAGGUGUCAAACUACCUAUUUUGUUAGCAGAAGUCAAAGAGGUUUUCUUUUCUGUUCUAUAGUAAUUUGGAGAUGUUAGAUUUUCAUAUAUUUCAGCAUAUGUUUUUCAUCAAAUGAAAUAAAAACUUUUUCCUUUUGUUAUCUAUUACAAAUCAAACUCUUUUAUAAAAAAAAUACUUAAAAUUCAAGAAAUCAAGGAAAUUGAUUACCUUCUAGAUUAUUAAAUCCCAAAUAUAAUUCUCUGAGUUGUGUCAGAUUUCCAAUACUUCUUGGAAUGAUCCCCGUCAAUUGAUUCAAGGACAAGGACAAAUUAUUAAGGUUGCUGCACUUGCCCAUACUUGACGGAAUGUUACCAGAUAACUCAUUGCUAUGCAAGUAAAGCACUUCAAGCUUGGGAAGAUGUUGACACAUAUCAUUAGGCAAACUACCUAAUAGGCUAUUGUUGGAGAGAACAAUGGUCUUCAGAG